CCUACGGGAGGCAGCAGUGAGGAAUUUUCCGCAAUGGGCGAAAGCCUGACGGAGCAAUGCCGCGUGGAGGAGGAAGGCCUGUGGGUCGUAAACUCCUUUUCUCAGAGAAGAAGUUCUGACGGUAUCUGAGGAAUAAGCAUCGGCUAACUCUGUGCCAGCAGCCGCGGUAAUACAGGGGAUGCAAGCGUUAUCCGGAAUUAUUGGGCGUAAAGCGUCCUGAGGUGGCUUACCCAGUCGACUGUGAAAGCUCAAGGCUUAACCUUGAAACGGCAGUCGAAACUUGUAAGCUUGAGUACGGUAGGGGCAGAGGGAAUUCCCGGAGGAGAGGUGAAAUUCGUAGAUAUCGGGAGGAAGGCCAAAGGCGAAAGCACUCUGCUGGGCCGAUUACUGACACUGACAGACGAAAGCUAGGGGAGCGAAAGGGAUUAGAUACCCCUGUAGUCCUAGCCGUAAACGAUGGAUACUAAGUGUUGCGCGACUCAAAACGUGCAGUGCUGCAGCUAACGCGGUAAGUAUCCCGCCUGGGGAGUAUGCCCGCAAGGGUGAAACUUAAAGGAAUUGACGG
Molecule: ribosomal RNA, 565 nt
Filed under: uncultured bacterium
Lineage: Bacteria
Description: bacterial SSU rRNA
Rfam family: Bacterial small subunit ribosomal RNA
Source: RNAcentral